Molecule: long non-coding RNA, 6101 nt
Organism: Hypanus sabinus (Atlantic stingray)
Lineage: Eukaryota; Metazoa; Chordata; Chondrichthyes; Myliobatiformes; Dasyatidae
Exons: 3
Source: RefSeq, a predicted model, not a curated record
AAAUGUCAUUUUCUGUUUCAAACACAUUAAUAAUAUUUUUGUAUAUCACAUAUAUUUCAGGCUGCCUUCCCGGAUCCUAUCAAAGAAAACAACCAGCAUCAGGCGGCGAAGAUUCAUUUUUAAUAAGAAUAUUUUUAUUGUUUAUAUUAAGAAGUAUUUAAAACAAUGCUUCGUGGUGACCUUUUAUACAAUUCCUAUUGCAUUUGGUUAUUCUUUAAAUGAAAGCAGAAAUAAAUUAAGUAUUAUCUCCUUCCCUUCAGAAAUUAGAAACAAAGUGUUACUGAUUGCAAUGCUGUGUGAUUAAUGACUGGGAGUCACAUUGUCAGUGACUUUUUUAAAGUGAAAGAACGGGUUAAAUAGAUAUAGUAAUGAUAAAGAUUAGAAUUUGAAUUUUUGGGGAAUUGUUUGACAAAUAAAGCUUCACAAAAAUUUUAAUGCAAUAACCAAUCAUUUAUGUCAAGCGGUUUUCGAAAUUUAAGUUGUUAUUGCCGUGAAAAUCUAUCAAUAGCAUCAAGGAUUUUAUAUCUAAAUUCGCAAUUAGCGAAUCAGCAGUUUGCUCUGAAGGUGGAUUUCUGCACUUUCCCAGAAAGGUACAUCUGAAAUGGUCGUUUAAUAGAAGCCGGGCCUAAACAAGGCAUUGAAUAAAAAUCUGGAAUUUGUACCGGGUUGCAUUUAGUAUCUCCAAGCCCCAAUCUGACCAUAUCAAUAUACCUCCUAGAUAUAUUUCUUUUCCUGUUGAUGUUUAGAUAUGUGUAUUUAGUGAAAAAUUGACGCCGUUGUCGAACAUUUUUUACAUAAAAGCACAAAACAAUACAAAUAUGGAGGAUUGCAAGAAAGAGCCUGGCGCCAUAUAUAAAACUCAUGUAUAAUGUAUUAUAUUGACAGGCGGUUAUGCUUUGUCAUUGGGAUACCAAACAUCACGUACGUAUUAUUUUAUAUCGAUUGGGCAUAUUCAUAACAACAAAAACACUUCGGUUAUACAAAAGAUCAUAUAAAUGCAAUAACACAGCUCUCCUGGAGCCUCCAAAUUUCAAAUUUCCGUGAAAGAGGGAGAUAGAACACGCACCGGACCUGAAGUCGUGCAGAAAUUGUACCACUGAAUAUUAUACUGAGUUAAAAUGCAUGCUUUAAUUUAGAAAUACAUUUAAGAAAAAUCAGCAAUUGUGGCAGAUCAAAUGCACAAAGAAAUUCCAGUCAUUAGCUGACAAAAUGUAAGUCAUAAGCCUUUGAAAUGACCUUUGGCUUGUACAGCAAUAACUCACCACUUAAUGAACAACCAACGGAAGCGCCUUCACUACCUCACAAUACAGCCCAUCACACAACUUCACCAUGGUUUUUCUAUCCCUCUUUAAUCCCACUAAGACGCAGCACCUUAUAAACUAGCCUCACCAACUUGUGUCGAUAUAAUGUGAAGUUAGAAGAGGAUCCAAAUCACAGUCGCCAAGGCAUUAGGUCCUGGAUCCAAUGCCUCCCACCAUAAUGUGUGUAAUGUAUUCACGUGGCCAUACGUCAAUUUAUAAGCUUUUAUUUCUCUGUAAUCACUGGAAGUAAGUAUUUGCAGAGAAAACUCGCUACUUUCCAAGGAAUCCACUAAGAUGGACAAACUUUAAACAGUUGGUUACUUUCAGGUGGUUUUGAUAAAUGUGCUCAGCCAUGGUCUGAACGGUAAGUUUUUAAUCAUCUUGCUUAUUAAUUUCGCAGAAGUGCGAGCGAGCUCUAACACUGCGGCCCUAAACCCUUAAAAAGCAGUAUAGUCAAGUAAAUAGAGUUAGUAAAAUAAAUAUGUGAAAAAGUUUUGGAAACUUUUUGUCACUUUACUAAAUUGCUAAACUAGGUUGGCAGGAGAAAGUCGAGAUAGUUAUGUAUUUAUUACGUUUACUGCUCACCAGAACAUAGGGCAACCGAGUGUACCUCUAAGUCCAAGGCAGUUUCUGUACUGGGACCUGACUUUAUUCGGAGAUUGUAAGUUUAAAGACAGACUAUCAGGCAAAUGUUGAUAGUUAUCAUGGCGAGAGCUAUACAGAUAUUUAUUGAAAUUUUAGGUGAAGUUAUAAGUGAGUGGCCCCAUCGAGCAAAAUGAAAUGCUACUCACAGUAAUUGGAUUUAGCUGGCUAACAUGGCAGACCAGCAGCUUCGAGGCAUGCAGCAAUGAAAAAUGUUCGACUCAAAAAGUUUUUUUUAACCGACGGAAGAGCGCGCGCACAGACACACGCGCACACAGACACACACACACACACACACACACACACACACACACACACACACACACACACACACACGUACACACACACACACUCACACACACUAUACACCCACAUACACAUCCACACACAGACACGCACACCACACACACACACACACACACACACACACACACUCACACACUUAGAAGUUAAAUACCUGUGGACAAUCCGAGAAAGUGCCCCUUACACACACAAUGAUUUGGGUAACUUAUAUGUGCACAUUUACAUUAAGAAAGCAGUGGAUGUCCCUUCGUAAUUACAACGAUUACGACACUUAAUUAGGUGCACUGUUUUAGUGCAGUUUAAUUUAGAAGCAGCAAUUUCAAUCACAGUUUAGAUCCCAGGUUAUGCCCAUUUCUGAAAAGCAUCUAGGAGUACGUAAUAAUAUUAAGAUACCAUAUUCAGGCCUGGAAAUGACACGGUACUUUGUAUUUUAAGAUGGAAAGUAAUAGAGCUGCAUUCUAGACAGUAUUUAAUAAAAGUAAGUAAAUGCGUUUCUGGAACUGGAAGGGAAAAAUAAUUAUCUUAACAUUUAGCAUUUAAGUUCUACUGAAACUGUAGCCAAAUCUUUAGCGAACGGAAUCAAAAGGGGAUUAUUUAAUUUCUUAUAAAACCUAGUCAAACUUGAAGUGUAUAAUUACAGAAAUGUUGCAUUUAAGCAAUUGCAGAGAUUACCCUCUGACGUGACCGCAGUAAAAUAAAAUUAUACUCGAUCUUUUAUACUGAAUAAUUUUUGAACUACCUUUAUACUGAGUUCCUCGAAAUUCAUAAAUUGUUUUCCUUGAACGACAAUAACCUUAAUUGAGAAAUAAUUUAUACAGGCUGCUGCAAUAACUUCAGCCCGCAAUAUAUUUCUGUAACGCAUAAAUCACAGAAGACUGCAGCCUGACGAUAAGCUAGAGACAACAAAUUAAUGUGAUUUACGAUCUAAGUUUGCUUGUGACAGUUUGAAAAGUUCCCUGGGUUUCUGUGCCUUUUUAUUUCGUUUUCAUUUUACAUAAAACUGCAGAAUCAGCUGAAAUAUAGCCACAAGACAAAUUUGGGACUACUCUGGUUUGCCCGAUCUAACCUUUCUCAAAUGGCGCACUUUCGUGAAACAGCAAAAUGUUCUUGAAAAUCGACUUUUCUUUUGCUACAAAAUCAUUUUUCUUAUCUCCCACAGAAAUGCACGUUUGAAUCAGAAUUUCAUACAAUUUGGUGGGAACAAUAUGCCCUUUCGCUGCAGGGAUUAUGCAAACUUACUGCUAAAGACAAUGCUGUCUUAAACCAGAUCUUGCGGCUUUACAGACAUUUCGAUACGAAAAGCAGACGGUAUUCCCGAUAGAAAUGGCUUCAGUCUCAGGAACAACUACCAAUAAAAACGGCGUACAGAGGUGUUUUUGCUUUAAAUCUAAAUCGAUAUUUUGUAAUCGAGCAACUAACAAGAAAGUGAUAUUUAUAAACCGGCGAGGCAUUUAAAAUCACAGGAGCCAGUAGCAACUGGGCGCUGGGAAAUAUUUCAUUCUGCUUCUGGUCUUAUUUUGUUUUCUCCCUCCUGAAAUUGCUUUGUUGAAUUAUAAUGUUUUUAGUUAUGGAAAAUUAAUUCUCAGUUGCAUUUUAUCGAACUGCUUAAUAUUUCUGUUAAAUGCUACUAGAAACUAUUUUAACCUCUAAAACAUUUGUCUGUAAUUUAAUAGCAAUAAAAAACAUUUCUAUUGACAGUAAUGCAUGACCUUAUUGCACCUAGCACAGGCUUAACGCAACAUUUAUCUAAAUUACUUUACCCUCUGUGGCUCUAUAUGGUCGUUACAGAAAUAUUGCUUUGCAAUUACUGCAUUAUAAAUUAUUUAAAAGGAAAUAAAACAGUUACAUCUCACUGUUUAGCUAAAGAAUUACUUUUCCACUAAAACUAUACAAGCAACUUCAUAUCUUUAUUUUCUGAUGAUCGUUCAUGCUGUGGGAAUUUGUAAAUAUAAUAAAUAUUUUAAAUGAUAUAUAUUUGUGACUUUGAAACAGCCCCUUUUAUAAUAUUGUCCGACCCCACAAAUAUAAAUAGACCAAUUUAUUACCGCAAGUUAUGCCUUCGCUGAUAAUUUUAUGAGGAGCCGAAGAAAAAACCAACUCAGUGCUAACGCUUGCCACUGUGAGAACUCGGCUCUACGAGGAAUAUAAUCAAACGGGCAUUCGAAGACAACUUCGACCGCAGCAUAUGCUCGUAGAGCAAUAAAACGAAGAGAUUUACAAUCUUCGCCUGGCCUCGGCAGCCUCGCGCCCUUUCAGGAAUUACUGCUGGUGAUUUAUAACAGGGUUGGAAAUUGUUGACCCUCCACACCAUAAUACUUUAUUUCGAUUUAAUGAAAAAGUUGUAAUUAAACCGUUUUCAUUGAUUCUUGUCUGCCCGAUUCUUUGCUGGAUCAGAAUUUAAAGGGUAGAGAAUGCAGAGUUGAAGAGAGUUAAAAAAAAACAACUUGGCUUCACAACCGCAACUUUGUCAUCAGUAAAACAGCGUUGCAUUUGUCAUCGGCGAAUAACUGAAUUAAUAGGUUAUUGUUUUAAUGCAUAAUUUAUUUAAAAAGGAAACGAACGUCGACUUUACACACGUGACGACAGCGCAAAUUCAAUUUCCAGAAGAGCGCUACGACAAAAGCAACGGAAGCAAUAAAUGCGAAGGUUCAUAUUGUAAAAUAUCUCCAAUCAAUUUAAUAAAAUCCUUUCUCAAAGACAUCUGUAUUUGCCACGGUAAUUUAUAUAGUUUAAUUACACCUUUAGAGAUGGGGGAAGGAACGGAGCUGUCAUGGUAUGCCACUAAAGCCUGCAGUGUAAUUUAUUGUUAUUGAAGAAUAUUUAUUGAUGUAUAUAUACGAUUACAUUCUUUGCUGCUUCAAUUAUGAUGAUUUGGAUUGUAGAAUCCUUUCUCCUUUUUCACAAAAAGAUUUUACAUUUCUGCUCAGUAUUAUAACUGAAAAUGCUUACUGACAAUAUACUUUUAAUCUUUACCCUCGUAAUAAAACUUUUGCAUGUUACUGUAAAAAACAGUAAUAAAAAACAGUUCAUGCUUGUACUUCACAGCAUUGUAUCAUCCACAAUAUACGUUAGCCAUACUUUAAUGCACUUUCUCAUACUAAUAUAGGUACAGAAAAUCAGAAUUCUGUUAAUCUAUUACCUUAUAAAAUGUGCUCAUAAUUGUUCUUAUUCAGAGAAUCAAUCACUACCAAUUAUUCUUAAAAUGAGCCUAACGCACACUUAAGAAUUUGUGAAUACUCGUUUUGCCUUCCAUUGUAAGAAAUAAAUGCCAAUUAACUGUAAAAACAAAUUCGUAGGUUCAAAGGAAACAUUUGUUUCAUCUUUUAUAACAACACAUCAACUAAAAUAUAAGGCACGAAAUGCCCAUGAAUAUAUUUUCUGUUGACGUAAGUACCUGCAAUUGUUCUCGCUGAAUCUCAUUUACAGACUUUCUAUUACGUCUCAAAGAACACAAAAUAUAUGACUCGUGGUAUUCAAUAUAAGCUCAGGCCUCUACUUCGUUGUGUACAAAUAGGCAGCAGAUGCCAUGACAGCCGGCAUUGUUUGCAAUAAAGCACAAGUAAACCGUAAAAUCUACGCCAUUUCAGGACACAAAACUACGCCUUAAUAAUAAUCCCACCGCAGUCUUACUAAUGUUUACCUCCCACCUCCAAGAUAUAGCAGAUACAAAUUUUUGCACCUGAAGUUUAUCAUAGUUGCUCCAAAAUGUUAAAGCUAAUCCGAAUAGAAGGUCAGUAUAUCAGCCUACUGCAACUUAUGACUGUCGCUUGGUAGCACAUAGUAAGAAGCAAAGGGCGCUAUUCAUCAAAUAUAUAUGACAGUUACAUUCAUUUGCUAUCUUACCAGAAACAAAAC